GCCGUGGCUCAGUGGUAAAACACCUGCUUGGCAUGCAGAAAGUCCCAGGUUCAAUCCCUGGCAUAUCCG
Molecule: transfer RNA, 69 nt
Filed under: Sphaerodactylus townsendi
Lineage: Eukaryota; Metazoa; Chordata; Lepidosauria; Squamata; Sphaerodactylidae
Description: tRNA-Ala
Rfam family: tRNA (bases 4-62)
About the family: Transfer RNA (tRNA) molecules are approximately 80 nucleotides in length.
Source: RNAcentral